Molecule: long non-coding RNA, 1460 nt
Organism: Mesocricetus auratus (golden hamster)
Lineage: Eukaryota; Metazoa; Chordata; Mammalia; Rodentia; Cricetidae
Exons: 3
Source: RefSeq, a predicted model, not a curated record
CUCCCUUUUAACCAUACUUGGGCAGUCCCAAAUGACCAAGCUAUGCCAGUAUGGUGAAGAAGCUCACUAUUUUGUAUUUAAUGUGUGUGUGUCUAUGCAUUUCUGUGAAUAGAUGUGAGUCUGGGCAGCCUGUGCAUUUAUCUCUGUGUUGGGCCAUGCCCCUGUGUUUGUAUUGUUUCACAGGUCUGUGUGCCAGGCACCAGGAUGGGUGAGUGAGGUACACCACACAUCACAGGGAUUGGAGCCUAUCUUUCCAGGUAGCAGGAGGGUUCAUAGUCUUCCAAGUCUUCAUUUCCUGGGCUGUAGGCAGAAGAAUGACCACCCCAGAGAAUGCCACAUUCUAAUCCUUGGAACCUGUUGUCAUAAACCAGGGGGAACUCAGGUUGCAUGUGAAGAAAACUUGAAGCAGACAGAGGAGGAAAAGAAUAUAAACAGUGCCUCUGAGCACACACACCACCCCUGAUGAGCCUGGAGUUACUCUAGAUCUGAUGACCAUGCUGAAAAGUGAAGAAACAGUCACAGAGGUCACUGGCACACAGUUUCAACAUCAAGAAGUUACCUGGCCCCAGAGGAAAUGCAUCCCCAGGAAGGAGCAUAAUGGAGUCUGCUCCCGCCUCGCCUCUCUGUAGCUGGGUGAACUUUAAGCUUGGUAAGCCUCCGGGUAGAAGGGAGCUAAUGACAAACCACCUUGCCUGCCUCACAGAACCCUAACAGAAACAGGCGACACGCCUAGCUGUGCCUUGCAAACUGUGACACGCUGAGUGAAUGGCCGUGGCUGUAUGAACGGCACUGAGCUGCCGGCCUCUACAGGACAGAAAAUUUCACUGUGGAGACCAGAGCUAUGUGUCCCUGGGUCAUGAACGCCUUUGCUGAGAGAGCUGGUCCACUACAUCAUCACGGGCCAACCUAGAACUCUCUAGAGUCUACACUUCCCAGAGUGUGACAUUCAUCCAAAGGGACAAUCAGAGACAGCUGGUGAUGGGAAAAGCCAUGCUCUAGCUGAGUGACCUUGGGUAAGUCAUGUGCUCUCUCCGAGCCUUAGUUAAGCUUUCUGGGCGAGAGGAGGACCUGCUUUGUGCUAUCGUAGGGAGUAAAUGGGACCUCACACUUACCAUGCAGUAUGACUUCAACGAGUGAUGGCUUCAUUUUAUCCCCCUGGGCCUCCAAAUCCCCAUCCAAUGGCUGCCCCUUUGACAAAGCUGCCGUGCAGAUGAAGGGAGAUGUGUUUGAGUAAGCAAGCAAGCAUGAGAUGAAGCCAUUGUGGACUCCAUGGGGCAAAACCAAGGUUUGUUUAUCCCCAGCAAAGGCUCGGUUCGCUGCAGUGCCUGGUGCACUCGGGUGCAUUCAGAGGACCCAAGUUUGUAUCCCCUGCAAGUACAUCAGGUGCUCACAAGAACCUAUAACUCCAGCUCCAGAGGGAUCCAAAUCCUCUAACCUUUGUACAUAUCUAUACAAAGACA